GCCACGGUAGUCUAGUGGUUAUGGCGCUCGGCUGCAGAACCGAAGGUCGCGGGAUCGAAUCCCGGCCGUGGCG
Molecule: transfer RNA, 73 nt
Filed under: Rhipicephalus sanguineus (brown dog tick)
Lineage: Eukaryota; Metazoa; Arthropoda; Arachnida; Ixodida; Ixodidae
Description: transfer RNA cysteine (anticodon GCA)
Rfam family: tRNA
About the family: Transfer RNA (tRNA) molecules are approximately 80 nucleotides in length.
Source: Rfam by way of RNAcentral